AGCUUCUCUUUCUGCUGUCCUCCCACAUGUCUCAUUUCUUGUUGAACAGUCACAGAAAUAAUACUGAUAGCAGUAAUAGUAAUAGGCAUUUCUCUCCUCGUCUUCUGCCUUUUUGGUGUUUUUCAGUGUGAGCACACACAUACGUAAAUGCAUGCAAAGACUGCUGAAUUCUGCACAAACACUGGCUGGAGUACUCUCUGUGAUCAGCAGUUGGCUUACUGGCAAGCAGGCCCAGAACUGUAGGUCAGGAUCUCCAUUCAUGCUGUGAUCUGUCCGUGGUACUUGGCAAAGCUCACUAGCAAUGUGAAAAGAUUCCCAGCCAGCCAUGAAAGCACAGUUGAUUUAAAGCUAUCCGAGAUGGGAAAUUGUGCUCUUCACUCACUUUCCCUCUUUCCACUUGCUGGGAAGGGAGGACAACCUGAGCAACCAUCUUAGACCUAGGAAUGAAGCCAUGGAGCCUUCCACCAGCUGCAUACCUGGAUGACUAUGUGGAGCAGAGGCACCCAUUCAUUCCUGUCUUAUUUGAGCCCAUUUAUUUUGGAGAAAUCCUCUUUUUGCCAUUUUUUCAUAUGCCAACUGCUUUGUUGCUCUCUCAACUAGACUCCAAGUAAGAAAUG
Long non-coding RNA from Herpailurus yagouaroundi (jaguarundi), 617 nucleotides. RefSeq lists it as uncharacterized. The record is from RefSeq and is a predicted model, not a curated record. The transcript has 3 exons. Lineage: Eukaryota; Metazoa; Chordata; Mammalia; Carnivora; Felidae.